GGGGAUUUAGCUCAGUGGUAGAGCGCUUGCCUAGCAAGUGCAAAGCCCUGGGUUCAGUUCCCAGCUCCA
RNAcentral lists this transfer RNA (69 nucleotides) under Rattus norvegicus (Norway rat). It matches the Rfam family "tRNA". Rfam says of the family: Transfer RNA (tRNA) molecules are approximately 80 nucleotides in length. The record is from Rfam by way of RNAcentral. Lineage: Eukaryota; Metazoa; Chordata; Mammalia; Rodentia; Muridae.